Molecule: RNA transcript, 7687 nt
Organism: Trichoplusia ni (cabbage looper)
Lineage: Eukaryota; Metazoa; Arthropoda; Insecta; Lepidoptera; Noctuidae
Gene: Pten
Gene name: phosphatidylinositol 3,4,5-trisphosphate 3-phosphatase and dual-specificity protein phosphatase PTEN
Exons: 10
Source: RefSeq, a predicted model, not a curated record
AACUCAUAAAAAAUAUUGAAAAGUAACCCGUAUCAAUCUUGGCCAACUUGGGAAUAAAACUUUGAAAAUUAGCGCUCGCUCUAUGAUUCUACUCUAUGCAAAACACUGCCAUCUAUGGCGUAGAUGGCAGUACCAGCAACUCGAUGAGUUUAGUAUGUUUGGUUACGAAAAAAAUAUAAUUGCAUUAUGUAUUAAUCAUUAUUUAGAAAUGUUGAUAUUAUGUAGGAUAUAUAAGUGUUUUCUAUAAUUAUUUCACUCAGUAUAUUAUUUAAUGUGCAUGAUAAGAUGUUUAUAUUUGAAAUCUGGCGGUAAUACAUGCGCGCUCAUAGCGCCACCUUGCGAGCUUAUCAAUAACAUAAAUGAACAAAGAGAGCUAGCUAGCCACCACUAGAAAUUAAGGUUGUGUUUUAUCUUUCUCUAACAAGCGCGUACUACGCUAGUGUAAAAGAGACACGUAGUACACUUUCGGCCAUCAUAACCAUCUUUCUUUCUUGUGCAACUGUUUCUCUUCGGCCGUGUACUAGUGCAAACGCAGGAUGGACGCCAUUCGCGCGAGAUAAUUUUUUCAUCGCUCGUGAAGCGAGAUUUGAACGCGUUCGGUGCCGGGCGUGGAGCUAUGCUAUAGUGUAUUCAUUGUUCGGUGCUUUCGGUCUGGCGGUGCGGUGUGGAAGUGCUCGGUGCUGGUCGCAGCCUCGGCUCGGCUGGAGGCAAGGCAGCGAGGCUCGGCGCGUGCAGCGCGAGGCAUGGCGGGCGCGAGCUGAGCGCCGGUCGCGGCCUCCGGUGUCAGGCCGCUCGCGCUCCGCCGCCGGCCCGAUGAGCGGGGCACGUUCUGCGCGGCGGAGGUUAUUUUAUGGGUAUUUGCGUGAGCUGCCGGCGCCGCGAGCGAAAGGCACCAGAGAAGCGGUCGGUGCCGGGAGCGGGCGGGCCCGCUAAGGGCACUGCGGCGGCAGAGCUGCUGCCGCGGCGCGUGAACCGACUGACAGCCAUGGCCAACUCCAUGUCUAACAUCAAGAUGACAAACCCUCUCAAGGGCAUUGUUAGCAGGCGCCGGAAGCGCUACACCAAGGACGGAUUCAACCUGGACUUAGCCUAUAUCACAGACAGGCUGAUAGCAAUGGGCUUCCCCGCCGAGAAGUUAGAAGGAGUAUACAGGAAUCACAUAGACGAGGUGUACAGGUUUCUAGAGAAGAAGCACAAGGACCAUUAUAAAAUAUAUAAUCUCUGCUCAGAGCGGUCAUACGAUUCAAGCAAAUUCCACGAAAGGGUGGCGCGAUACGAGUUAGAAGACCACACGCCUCCCAACAUUGAGCUGAUACAGCCUUUCUGCGAAGACGUCCAUAAUUGGCUAUCAGCUGACUCCAAGAAUGUGGCAGCAGUGCACUGUAAAGCUGGCAAAGGACGAACGGGCACAAUGGUCUGUUGCUACCUACUGUACAGCCGGCAAAAGGCGUCGGCGGACGAAGCCCUCCAGUUCUACGGGACGAAGAGAACCUACGACGAAAAAGGCGUGACGAUUCCGUCGCAGCGGCGCUACGUGGAGUACUACGCGGCGCUGGUGACGUCGGGGCUGGUGUACUCGGCCACGCGCGUGCACAUCCGCGAGCUCGUCAUGAGCCCGCCGCCCACGCUCAACGGCGGACACUGCGCGCCAGAGCUCACCGUCUCGCAGGCCAAGCCCUGCUUCAAGACGCCGUCGGGCUGCCACGAGGUCCGCAAGGAGGCGGGCGGCGUGCGCGUGUUGCUGACGCACUGCACGCCGCUCUGCGGGGACGUGCGCGUCGACGUCUACAACAAGCCCAAGAUGAAGAUGCGCAAGGAGAAGCUCUUCCACUUCUGGUUCAACACAUACUUCGUGGCGGCCGGCGUCGGCGCCGAGAGGGUGCCCGCGCUCGACGACAGUCCGAACCUCGAGACGUUCAAGUUAACGCUAAAUAAGUGGCAGCUUGAUGAGGCGCACAAGGACAAGCAACACAAAAAUUACAGUCCAGAUUUCAAGGUGGAGCUGAUAGUGCAGAAGAUGCCGGUAUCGGCCACGUUCGUGGGCGGCGGCGCGUGCUCCCCGCCGCCCUCGUCCUCGUCCUCGUGCUGCUCGUCCCGCUCCGAGCGCGACGAGCGGGACGACCCCGAGCGGGCCGCCUGGGACUCCGCGAGGAGUGGCUUGUGGUGAGCGUGGCGGGAGCGGCCGGGAGCCCCCCCCCCCGCCUGCCGCCGCGGACUACACGUGAAUCUACAUACUUGUGAGGUUUGCUCGUGCCUCGGUGACCUCUCCACUUCUAUAAAUAAACCCUGCUUUACCCACCCCUACUGGCAAAGGCUUGAACUUUAACACGGUGCCGAAAACACUUGUAACCCUGAAUCCUAGUGAUGUUUACUGAACAAGUAGUGCUCUAUAUGUGUCUAAAAAUGUGUAGAUAUUUAACAAAAAUGAGCGGGUUGUGCCAUUGCCGCGUGCCGACGGACUAAACGUACGGUUUGGAUAUAAAAACAAGUUUUUGUGAUAAUAAUAGUGUGCUGAAUGGACUUAUACGUCGGCGAAUCGACGUUGUGGAGAUAUCGUUUUAUUUCACCCGUUUACAAGCCGUCGAAGGAAUCGACAUUAAAUUCUAUGGUCACAAGGUAUGUUUCUCGUUUAACUCUUAUGACUGAUAAGUACAUUUCUCGGUAUUUUUUUUUAAUUGUAAGCUUUGGCCAUUGUCAUAGAUGUGUUUCAGUGAAUAAACAUUUUGUACUUUUUAAAUGUCAAAGACUAAAUAAUACAAGGAGGUUAAUAGUGUACUCUGCCGAAUUUUUAACAGACUGAAAUUAUUACCGGUAAAUCAGAUGGUUAGAAAUUAGAUCAGGUUCAGUUGAGAAAUGAAUUAUUUCGAUGAUGGAGAAGCAAUGUGACUCGCUUGAAUAGUUUUGAAAAUAAUAUUGUCUGUUAAAUUAAAUGUAUUUAGAACUCCUUAUCAUUGUGAUGUUACAAUGGUGACGAUUGUUUGUCUGUAUGAUUUUAUCUAGUGACCAAAUUAUUAAAUAUGCGCAAAAUGUCUUUCUUAUACAAUUAAGUGUCCGGUAAUAUUUCUAAUAUUUUUAAGCAGUAGUAUUCAAUAUCGUAACAAAUAAACGUCACCAUUGAACUGUAUUAGGACGUACCUAGUCAAUGUCUUUGAUAUGACUUGAAAAUGUAUAAAAUAUAAGGAACCAAUUUCUAGGUGCUCUUAUUUCAUUUGAUUUGAAAAUGAAUAUCAUCCUGGUUAACCGGCUUGUAAGGUAACCAAUAUUCGAGAGAAAUCGUCUGUUUUUUCAUACAUUGUAUUGUACCAUAAAGCCAGCUUCAGUUAUUUAUAAGUUUUUUUUUAUUGAUAAAGAACUACAACAUGCCGUGAGUGCGAGGCAGAUUUUCCCACCAUUUCGACUAAGUCCAUUGACGGACAGUUUUUUUUUUAAUGUUUUUUUGUAUAAUUUCGAAAGAUCUCACUAACUGCCGUCAUAAAUGUAAAAAUUUUGUUAGGCUUAAUGUGACUACUGUGGGAUUUUUAUGAACAAGAAUUAUCGAGUCCUAAGGAAAACUUAAUAAAAUAAUUUAGGGCUUAACAAGUUACUCUUAUUGCACAAAGCUAUGUAAAAUGGACUUUAAUCCUUUAUAUUUCUAAUACUCUUUGGUGCGUAAUAAAAUAAAUAAGAAUUUUGGUUAGUUUUAAUUACUUUUCUUCAACUAAAAAUCCCACAGAAGACACUUUGUUAGUAGAAAAAAAAACUUCCAAAAACAAGUUUGAUACUUGACACAAUUUUAUGAAAGGAACUGAAGGCCUAGAUUAUAACCUAAAUAUGUUGACCCUUGGCUAGUCCAUAAUCUGAUCAUAGUAAAUACUAUAAACAUGUAACUGUUUUACAUAACACAUGUAUCAAUAUUUAAUUCACAAUACAUUGAGCUACUAUAGUUCUAUUAACGAUUAUUAUUAACUGGCUGUCGAGUAAAAGAAUGGAAAUCAAAUAUAAUUAUUGCAGUAUACAUGCUAGGGUGGUCACUUGUGUAAAAGUACAAAUGGUUGCACAUGCUAGGUCUUCUUAGAGAAUGGUCCUCCACGCAAAGUGUGAGAGAGACAACAUGAUUUUCGUGCGUUCGUAUGAUUUGAUGCGCUUUUUUAAUACCUAUAAAAUAUAUAAUGUACUAUCAAUUCAUUUUAUAUACAAUUCUAAUAAUUUAUUGAAAAUUUCAAAUCAUUUAAUUAAUUAAUUACUAAUUAGUAUUAUCAAAUUUAGAUAUCCAAGUAGCACAAGAAUAAAACAUUGAAAGCAUAGCAAGGUUGACAGAUCAUAUUUGUUGGAUAUUGUAUUACCUGUCACUUUCAUGCAAUUGUGGUAAAGAGAGUGUAAAAAUGAUAUAAAUAUUAUGCUCUGCCAAACAAGAUCUAUAGAUGUAUUUUAGUUUACAUUUACAUUAAACACUUACAAAAUUAAUUCAUUAAAACAAAAUAUAAAUAUAACACUCAUUUAAUAUGAGUAUGAUGUAAGUUUUCAUAUUUUUAAGUACGUAAGUGUUCAGGCUGAAUGGAAAUACCGUGGUUCAGAAAAAAAUUACAUUUGUUUUAUAGGUAUUGAAACAGCUUGGAUAAAGCCUGGAAUAUUCGAACUGUGUUGCUGAAUGCAAUGUGUGUUUUUGUGUUUUUGCAAUUGAAGUAGUAUGUUUACUAAUACCUACAAAUGAUUGGAACUAUGAAUGGAGAUUUAAUUCACUGAUUUGAAACAAAAACAUCGAAUUGAUAAUAUCUGUAUUAAAAUCAGUUUUGUAAAAGUAUCAACAAAUUAUUGCAAAUAAGGUAUUCAAUGUAGAAGUUUAAUGCAUAACAAUAAUAUUAAAUUCCGAAAGUUACGUAUAUUUUUUGUUUGGCACGAGUAUCAUCUUUACAUUUUAUUGUCUUUAGAUGAUAAGCAAUAUGUUAUAGAUCAAGUAGAGAAUGACUUCUCCAUUCAUAGCAUAAGCUACAGACGAUAUCUGUACCUUAGGAAGAUGGAUGAAAAGCCGAUUUUAUUUAAUUGUAAAUAUUAUUGUUACGAUACAUUAGUGGUUAAUUGAGAUCUGUUUUAAAUAAGUAGGUUGUGUUACAACCUAGCGCCUUUUAAAAGUUUUAUCAUUUUGACAAAAGCAUAUUGAGCGUUGUCUAUGGCUGGUCCAUUUACAAUGGAGAGAAAUUAAAAUGUCUAAUCAACGUGUUAAUUUCAUUCUGUUAUUUUAAUAGCUUUUACUUUUGUUAUUGACAAUAAUUUCAUUGAUACCCACAUACAUUGUUUUCAUAUAACUAAUAUUCGCAUAUAAUUUACAGUGUAGUUUUAAAUCAUCCUCUGAACUUGUGUAAACUAGGAUUAAUGUUCUGUUAGUGAGCAGAAUCUGCCAGCCAGUAGAAACUCAUAAGAUUUUAUAACUUUUUGAAAAAAACUCUGAAAUUAAGAAUAUUAUACAGUUACGGUAAAUCUAGAUUAAAUAAAAGAAUGAAAAUAGCACAAUAUCUCGUUUAUGUUUCUAUGACGUUUAGGAGAGUUCACGGUUAUUGUGAUAUAGGGCUGCGUGGGACGCUCGCUCGGACCUCCUGCAAGGGGCGGAGUCUUCCUGAUACAUGGCGUGAUCUAGAUCUAUUGUUUUAAUUCCUACAUUGUAAUGAAAUGCAAGAGGUUCGAGCGAGCAGGGUGUUGUUGACGACGGGUUUAUCACGAAUGCCAGUAUUGGUGAGACGAGUGUGAGGGGUGUGGUACGCGACUUAUCGUGGUGGUUCCAAAAGGGAUGAUGUCAAAGCACAUCAGAUAACUCUCGCGGUGAAAACUGUGAGCUGUACGAGAUGUUAUGAAGUGUGACGGGUUCGAUGUUACUUGGCGUAGUUAUGGCCUAUGAGGGUAUUUUGAAGGAGAAUGCGCAUGUGAGACAAGGAUGGCAUUUUGGACAAACUCGCUGAAGUUUAAACGUAGUAAGUAAGCAAUGGUUACUGUAGGUAGGUUAGAUCGUGUCUAGAUAGGUUUAAAUAACGUCAUAGAAACGAACAGAGCUGCAGAAGUUCGAGUAAAUGACAAAAAAACUUUUUUAAAUUCUUUUAGGCAUUAUGAUUUUUAAUUUCUUAAUACGGCUAAGACGGAGUCACAUGAAGCUUCCAGUUUAAAAAGUUUUUUAUUAAGUGUCAUGAAUUUGUUUUUUUUUUCAUUAAUUAGUUUGUAAUUUUUUAAUUGUAUCGCUUCAGAUUUCUUGUUAUCUGUUAAGUAUAUGUAUUUGGCUCAGUAAUAAUUUUUAUUCUGAAAAUUCUAUGCGUCAUUUUAACUUCCGAUUUGUAAAUAAGGAUGGUGAAAUUCUAAAUUACUGUUUUUUACAAUAUUUUGUUUUGUGCUAAAUUUUAUAUAAGCUGCGAAUUACAAUCUAUUUGGCGUCCGGAGGUUAAUAUACGCGUAUAUAUCAUCAAGUACAAAUUUAGGAGUUGUUAGUUUGAUCCGUCUUAGACAAACGGAGUGGACUAAGUCAUUAACUUAUUCUCCAAAAAUAUUUUUUAAUGGAAAUAUUUGAUAAACAGCCACCUCUAGUAUUAAAAUAACCCCCAUUCCAGUAAAGUGGUAGACGUUCGAAUUUCGUUUUGUUUCUUUUUUUAUAUAAUUGUAUUCGCAUGAAAAUUCGUUAUCGGUUAACCACUCGACCUCCCCACUCCCUUCAUCAAAGGUUUAGCUUUAAAGAUUGUUGUUUGCCUUAUAAAAAAAUGUGAUCUUAUGAGGAUUAUACUUAAAGGAUGUCGCUGUACGUUGCGGGUGUAGGAAUCGGCGUUUGUACUGAAAAGUAAACAGAAACAUUCAAGUGCGGAGACUUUUAAACACCGCUAAUAAACUGUCUUUAUAUUCUUCUUACAAUUGUAUCAUUAAAUAUUUUCUUCUUAAAUUUUAGGCAUUAUGUACAUCAUUAUCUAUGUUAUAUUUUAAACAGAAAUUUGUGCGGUGUACAUAAUUCCUAAAAAUAGUGAAUGCGCCUGCGUCCGCAACAAGUAUGAAAGAAUAAUGCCUUGUUUGUAUAAUGAAUAUGGUAACAUAUAAAAAGAAUAAUGAAUUAUCUAAUAUAAUAAGACUUUGACAAUGUUCGAUAGGCUCAGGAAAGUUGACUGUCAAUUGGAUAACAGGCGAAAAGGGCUUUAUUGGUUCGAAAGUAAGCAUUCACGUUGCGAUUGCAGUAAUAUUGAAUGUACAAGAACAUAUAACCCAAUAUAAAAUCAAAAUUGGUGUCCAUAAUAGUCAAGUUCCGGCGAUCGCAACGUGAACAGCGUCUUUAGUAUGAAAGAUAGUUGGCAAGCGACUUGUUUUACGAAUGAUUAUGAGAACGACUUUCAUGGAUAAAUGUCUAGUAUUCUAAAUGUAAUGUUAAUCAAUGUAUGUCCGACAAUUGACACAGUCGCGUGUGCGACAAGUCGUAGCGUGCACAGGGGGCUUUUGUGAAUCAUUUCACUUCCACAGACACUAGUAAAGCCCUCUCCGCAGAUAAAGAAACUAAAAAGAAUAUAAUUUUUAUAAAUCUUAAGAAAUUCUUAGUUUCACAGUAAAGUAAUACACUGUAAAUUAUUUCUUAUCUUAGUAAAAAGAUCUCAUCACCUUAUUUUUUUUGUUUUGUCUUUUUAUAAUUAUUUUGAGAAGCAGAUUAGUUGAUUUAAAGACAAUCAAUGUAAAAUAAAACUUAUGGAUGUAUAUA